Passer montanus (Eurasian tree sparrow) is the source of this 7683-nucleotide RNA transcript. It is a transcript of the gene named glutamate receptor interacting protein 2, with no coding region annotated. The transcript is spliced from 24 exons. Lineage: Eukaryota; Metazoa; Chordata; Aves; Passeriformes; Passeridae. The record is from RefSeq and is a predicted model, not a curated record.
CUGGAGCAGUUGUGAGUGAGCUGUGGAACAGCCCUGGUCCUGCUAAUGCUGCCACCUCCUCCGGGACUGAGGAAAAAGAGCAUGCACUUCUUGCAGACCUUCCUCUGGUGGAGGGCACUCCGAGAUGAUGGCCCUUACUCAAAGGGAAGCAAGGACUCUGGAGGGAUGGAUGCAGCCCUGGUCUCCAGGAGGCAAAGCAUCCCAGAAGAGUUCAGAGGGGUCACAAUCGUGGAGCUGAUUAAGAAAGAAGGAAGCACCCUUGGUUUAACCAUUUCAGGUGGCACAGACAAAGAUGGAAAGCCAAGAGUCUCCAAUCUGAGGCCAGGGGGACUGGCUGCAAGGAGUGACCAGCUGAACGUGGGGGAUUACAUCAAGUCGGUGAAUGGCAUUAACCUGACCAAGCUGCGGCACGACGAGAUCAUCAGCCUGCUGAAGAAUGUGGGCGAGAGGGUGGUGCUGGAAGUCGAGUAUGAGCUCCCUCCAGCCGUGCCAGAAAGCAGUGCUGGCAUUAUUCCCAAGACCAUUGAAGUGUCCCUCUACAAGGAAGGCAACAGCUUUGGCUUUGUGCUGAGAGGGGGAGCCCAUGAAGACUGGCACAAGUCCAGGCCGCUGGUGCUCACCUAUGUGAGGCCAGGGGGCCCUGCAGACAGGGAAGGGUCCUUGAAAAUUGGGGACAGGCUGCUGAGUGUGGAUGGGAUUCCUCUGCACAGCAUGACCCACGCUGAUGCCCUCAACAUCCUGCGGCAGUGCAGCCAGGAGGCACUUUUCCAGAUUGAGUAUGAUGUGACCAUCAUGGAUACUGUAGCAAAUGCUUCUGGUCCUUUACUAGUUGAAAUAGCAAAGACUCCAGGGUCCACGCUGGGAAUCACACUGACCACAGCCAUGCACCGGAACAAGCAGGUCAUCGUCAUCGACAAGAUCAAGCCAGCCAGCGUGGUGGACAGAUGUGGUGCGUUGCAUGUUGGUGACCACAUUCUCUCCAUUGAUGGCACAAGCACAGAGCACUGCUCCUUAUUAGAGGCAACUCAGCUUUUAGCUGCCACUUCUGAAAAUGUCAAGCUGGAGAUAUUACCUGUUCACCAAAGCAGGCUGCCUUUGAAGCCUCCAGAAACAGUCAAGGUGCAGAAGAGUGACCACCAUCACUGCUGGGACCCCUGUGUCAACUACUGUCACACCCACCACCCUGGACACUGCAAGACACCCACUUGGACCCAGACAUCUGGACAGGAUUACUGCAAAUCUCUGGUGGCUGCCAACUUCUCGUCUCCCACCAUGAACGCGCAGGGAUUCCCGUGCCAGAACUCCAACACGCUACCUCGCAGCUCCCACCCCAUGAGCCCCCGCACCACCAUGCUGAGGAGGAGGCAGAAGAAGAAGGAGCACAAGAGCUCACUGUCACUGGCCUCCAGCACGGUGGGUCCUGGCGGGCAGAUAGUCCACACGGAGACAACAGAGGUGAUCCUCAGGGGAGACCCUCUGAAUGGCUUUGGACUUCAGCUCCAGGGAGGCAUCUUUGCUACGGAAACUCUGUCUUCCCCACCUCUCGUCCGUUUUAUUGAGCCUGACAGCCCGGCAGAGAGGUGUGGGCUGCUGCAAGUAGGAGACAGAGUCCUUUCCAUCAACGGCAUCGCGACGGAGGACGGGACCAUGGAAGAGGCCAACCAGCUCCUGCGGGACGCGGCGCUCACCAACAAAGUGGUGCUCGAGAUCGAGUUUGAUGUCGCAGAGUCUGUCAUACCCAGCAGCGGUACUUUCCACGUUAAAUUGCCCAAGAAAAGAGGUGUAGAGCUUGGAAUUACAAUCAGCUCUGCAAGCAGAAAGCUUGGGGAUCCUUUGAUCAUCUCUGACAUCAAGAAGGGGAGUGUAGCACACAGAACUGGCACCUUGGAGCCUGGAGACAAGCUGUUAGCCAUUGAUAACAUCCGACUCGACAAUUGCUCAAUGGAGGAUGCUGUGCAGAUUUUAAGGCAGUGUGAAGACCUGGUCAAAUUGAAGAUUAGGAAGGAUGAAGAUAACUCUGAUGAGCAGGAGACAACUGGUGCUAUUAUCUACACAGUGGAGCUGAAACGAUAUGGAGGCCCCUUGGGAAUAACCAUCUCUGGGACAGAGGAGCCUUUUGAUCCCAUUGUCAUUUCAGGCUUGACUAAACGAGGGCUGGCAGAGAGAACCGGAGCCAUCCACGUUGGGGACCGGAUCUUGGCGAUCAACAACGUGAGCCUCAAGGGCAAACCGCUGAGCGAGGCCAUUCACCUGCUGCAGAUGGCAGGGGAGACUGUCACCCUCAAGAUCAAGAAGCAGACAGAGAAAUCCUACCCCAAGAAGUCGGGGAGCAUAAACGAAGUGAGUGACCCAGAAGAUGAGCUGACAGACUCCCAGAAAACUAGCAAGCUGUCUGAGAUGUACUCCUCCACAAUUCCAAGUGUGGACAAUACUGUGGAGUCCUGGGAUGGCUCUGCCAUUGAUGCUGGGUAUGGAAGCCAAGGUACGUACAUACCCCAGGCUGCUGGCAUAGCCCUCCAUCCACACGAGUGGAGACACAGCAGGCAGAAGAGCAGCACCCCUCCAGCAGACCCCAGGAAAAACUACCCCUACAUGGAUGGAAGCUUCAGUGAAGAUGACUGGGACAAAUCCAGCAGAUACCCCAACCGCCAAAAUGGCCUUGAGACCACUCAUGAGGACAAUUUUUGGCGUGUUUUUGGAGAAGCUUUGGAGGAUUUGGAAACAUGCGGCCAGUCUGAACUAUUGAGGGAGAUUGAGGCAUCCAUCAUGACAGGGAGCGUGCACAACCUGGGCUUGGAGGGCAGCAAGCUGCUCCUGGACUCUGUCAACCCCUCGGGAAUGAGCCCACUGAGGAAAGCCAACUCCAGCUGCACCGACGGACAGACUGAGGGCAGCAGCUCCCCCGCCAAGAAGAACGAGAGGAACCUGGACAUGAAGAAGAUGGAGAAGGAGAUGCAGGAAAUCAUGUCCCCGACCCCCCUCGAGUUUCACAAGAUGACACUCCACAAAGACCCAGAGAGUGAAGACUUUGGAUUCAGUUUGUCGGAUGGCCUGUUAGAAAAAGGUGUCUAUGUAAAUAUGGUCCGUCCGGAUGGGCCAGCAGAUCAGUGUGGCCUCAAGCCAUAUGACAGAGUGCUUCAGGUAAUAAAUGCAAAAUGCAGUUCUGGAGGCUGGGACGGAGUGAAUGAGUGGCUGAGAGGAAGAGAGAAGUGAGACCCAUCCAUGGCAGCACUAACUUUAAUGAAAGGUAAUAGUUAGCCAACUAGGUUGGCUCUUAGCCACCAACACUCAAUGGGACCUGUGCUUUAUAAUGAGAAAUCACUAGCUAGUAUUUCAGGUGGUACUCCUAGGUUACACUGGUCCAGAGCACAGCCUGUUCUGGCACUGGCCUUUUUGAGCUUGGACGGCUCAAAACAAGUGAAAAGCUGUGUAGCUUCCUUUCCUCACCCUCAAUCCUACUCCUAGUUUUUGGAUGAACCAGACUGUGUUGACCAAUAUGUGUUCCUGUGAAGCCCCUUGUGGAAUUACGUGAAGUCCAUGAAGUUCUGUGCAUGCCUUUGACAACUAGAAAAGUUUUCUAGGAAACACAUCCUUCAAGCAAGGUAUUUUUUAUGGAUAUUUUUCUUUGAAAAAUGCUUCAUCUGAAACAGCUGAUGCAGAAACAGAAUCAAAACUGGUCAAAAGCACAGUCUGUAAUAAAUGUGCCCUGGGCAUAGCAACUUCUGGAGGGACAGAAAAAACCUGGUGAGUUUUGGAGAUUGGAGACAAGCUCUGUGUGGAUGAAAACCAACUAUUUUAGCUUUGAGGCAACUCAAACAGCAACUGAAGGAAGUGCAACCUCUGUGGAAAAAUUGCUACCAUUUGGAAAUGCAGAUAUUGUCACCAUAUUUGGAAACACUCAGAUGUUUAGUUUUACUAAUUUCUAGGUGGGGGUUCUUAGCAGUCGGAUUAAAGCCAAAACUUUAUGUACAUCAGGUAACUGGAGGACUGGCAGCACUGUGGGGAACCUUGUUUAAGCUUGUUAUGGUCUCUCGCCAGUUGGCUGCUAUACAAUUAUUCCUUCUCAGCUUCAAAUAAAAGAUGGUGCAAGAAUGAACAAGAAGCUAAUUAGGCUCUGGGCUGCCUUUCUGUUCAGUGUUGGAUGUGCUGCUUUUUGCAAGUGCCAAGUGCUCUGGGAGGUGUGCCCAAAAUCCUAAACAGAGCGGCAUGGAGACUUUGGACACCCUUUUUCCACAUGCUGUGCCACACAGCUCACACCUACGGGCACAUGAGGCAGCUGCCAUCACGUUGUCUCGUGGAGUUGGGAAUGAGGGAUUGCAGAUGUGCUAUAGGUGACUCCCUUCAAGAAGUGCAGAGCUGCAUUGCUGAGGAUGCUGCACAGUGCUGCUGAUUGUGGGCACGGUGAUGUGCCCGAAGGCCAGCGAAACACCUCGUCCCUGCUGUCACAGACCCUCUGCCUCUUGGCUGCAUGGAUUAACUGGAGCAUGGCAUUGCACUGGUGGCACUUCUGCACUGGAGCUGCCUGGCUGGCACAGAGCAGGGGCAGAGCAAGCUUGUGGUUUGUCUCUCCUUGUUCACAAGUGGACUAGAAAUUGUCCCUGUGCUGUAAGGGCCAGUAGUGGGGUCUCUGUGCGGACACUGGCUAGGGUGGGGGGACACUGCUGCUUUCACAGACCCAGCACUGUGGGCAUGCAUUAAUUCUGGGAAGGGGCUUGGCAUGGAAGGGUUGUAUGGAGUCAAAUACCCAGCCCUUACCCAAAGAAGGAAGCAACACCUGGCCCCAGGGGUUAUGUUCACUCCAAAGGUGUAUGGGAAAUUGCUUUUCCCCUUCCCCACUUCCCAUCCCUGUGCCGUUUGCCAGCCUGCUCUGUCCCAGAGCUGUCAUGGCACCAAGCCCAAGUGUUCUGGUAACUGUAGGUGAGAGAGCUGGGGUGAUUUCUCCAGAUGACCCGGCCUAGAAAUGUGCUUGAAGGUCUGCAAGAGCCAGCAGAAACUGCUUUCACUGUUGAAUCCUACAGAGAGAAUUUGCAGCUGCCUCCAGAGCUGACAUGAAAUGCAUCCAGGCUCUGUGAAAAGAAGGAUAUAAAUGGGGAGAGGGGAAGAAGAAAUUGUUUGGUAUAGUCUGGGUUUACCUCUGGCUGAGCUGGAAAAUGGUUGCCAGAAGCCUCAGGCCUUCAUUUGUUUUCUAUGUGCUGGAUACUUGGCACCCCAAAUUUAAGGCCAGUAAAAGCCAUUAUGGCAAAAAAAUAAUGGAAAAUGGCAACUUUUUUUCUACAGACUUGGACAGGAGAACUGGUUUUGAGCCCUGCAGUGUUUAAUAUUUGUAAUACUGCCCCAGGCACUGAGGGUCAGGGUUCAUUCCAGACUUUUCCCCCUUUCCUCUAUCAGCUACUGCAUUGUUCCUCAGCUAAGCAUGGAUGCUCAUUCUGAAGGGGUGCUUUUGCUCUUCUCCAUUGUUAACCUGGAAUCAGGGACCCCCAAGAACUGUGUAUUUUUUCCAGCUGGGGUUUAGCACUAAUCUUGCAUUUGCUGACUAACAAACAUGAUCUUUCUGUUGUUCCUUCCCAUGGCAUGUCCUAAAUCCAUCCUGGCAGGUAAACCACAUCCGAACGAGAGACUUUGACUGCUGUCUGGCCGUUCCCUUGAUUUCAGAGGCUGGAGAUAAGCUGGACCUGGUGAUUAGCCGGAACCCCUUGGCCCUGGCUGCCAAUGCUCCCUCGGAGGGGAACAGAGAGCUCCCAGCACAGGUGCCCCACAGCGCCGAGGUCAAGGCGAGUGUCCAGACACUCUGAGCAGCAGGAGCAGAGCAGAGGAUGCCUCUGCUGAGCUCCUGUGGUAUUUGGGGUGUUAUUCCUGUUUUUUUUGCACUGGUAUUUGUAAAUGCUCUGUGUACCAUAACCUGCAAGUGGGGAGGUGGGUCUUCACUGAGCCUGUAGACCGCCAAAUAUUUCUGGGAAGGUCAGAGCUGGGUGUGCGUCUGGGGCUGUGGCAGCGAUGGCAGCAGGACAAACUGCAGCAGGAGGAAGGAGCAUCCACAGCCAUCCCCCAUGGCAGGGCAUCCCCCUGCGCUUCUGCCAUCGAGUGUGCAGGGUCCUGCCUCUGACAUUCUUCUCACCCUGAAAGGCCUUGGCCAUCCUACAAACACACAUGGUGCUAUUAUGUUCUUUCUUUGCUCAGUUAAUCACAUACAGCAGGACUGAAAUGCCUUUCCUUUUAUGUUGUGCCCAGCUCCAUCCUUUCAACACUCCUGGCAAAUCAAUUCCUGCAGCCCCUUGCACUCCCAGUGCAGGGCUGUGGAGAGAGCCAGUUAAAAGACACUUUAAAAUGUGCUUGAGAGUGGCUAAAUGCAAUUCUUGUGCAGAAAUUGGUGUUUGCAGCUGUCUCCUGCCAGCCCUAUCCACACUCUCCCCUAGGUCUGGCUCACCUGUAGUGGGAUUAGGCGCCUUGUGUGCCUGAUUCCCAUGAGCAGUGUUGUUACCUGUGCUCAGUAGUGAUUGCAGAGUAGAGGCCAUACCCAAAGCUAAAGGCCCUGAGUACCUGCCUGAAUCCCCCUUGUUUGUCUGAGCUUUACAGAGAUGUCUUGCUUGCAAACCUGGCCUGUGCUUGGAAGCAAAUAGCAGAGUAGCAAAAUUCCCAUGGCUGCCCCUGAUGUUUUGGAUCAAUGAAACCUUUCUGUCUCCCCUGAGGCAGAGGAAUGACAAACCCUUGGCUGGGUGGAGGUGGUGUCCUGUGUCCCUGUGGGCUGGGUGUGUGUGCCCCUUUGCCUGCUGCUGGCCUCUUGUAGCUCUGUGGCUGCUCCCCUGCUGCCCGAGAGCCCCGCGUGGCAGAGGGGCUGUGACGUUUGCAUUGCCUGCCCUGUUUCCCACAUUAGCACUUUAUGAUGAUGUCCCUGUCCUGGUGGUGGCGUGCAGCUUCGCUUUCCCUGGGAAGGCUGGGCCAUGGAGUCCAAGAGCUCCUUUGGUCAGAGACAGCAGCUCCAGAGCCCACUGCCCCAUUCCCUGCUUGCCCUCCCAGUUCCUCCAUGCCCAGCUGCACGCCAGGGCUGUGUGGAGGGAGCUGGGCGGGUGUGCAGCACGUCUGCGUCGCUUUGCUGAGCCAGGACUGUCCCCGCGCUGUCUGUCCCCUCCAGCCCCUGUGACAGCACAGAUGUUCCUCCCAGGCACGGCCCCAUCCAGCUCCUUGUCGUUGUAGCCAUUUUCUCUUUGAGUAUGCAAUAUCCCAUACCAUUGCUGCCACAGCUAGAUAAUGUGCCAUAAUUGAUACUGUGGAGCAUUGACAGUGCAGCCGAAAGUGUUUUUAUAUGCAAUAUUCUGAGCAGUGGAAGCUCACUGGGGCUUCUCAUAGGUUUUUAAUGAAGACUUUUAUUAAAGGCUUUAAAAAACAAAAAAAAAAGAGAAGGAAGAAAAACUUGGUCCUUGUAUCCCUUCCUAUGCAUUUUGAAUGAUAUGAAGAUGAAAUGCAUUACUUAAAUGUGUAUUUUUAUCCAUAUAUUAGAGUGUAUUCCUUGUAAAGUAUUUUUAUAUGCUAAUUUUCUUAUGUAUCUAUGAAAGCACAAUAUUUAAAAGUACAGCAUUUCAAAGGAUAUUUUAGUCCUGUUUUGGACCUAUUUGUAAAUCUCUGUAUUUAAAUGGGAUUGGAAUGACUCUGACUUUUUUUAAAUUAAAUAAAAGCAAAUGAAAUGCA